RNAcentral lists this ribosomal RNA (470 nucleotides) under uncultured bacterium. RNAcentral describes it as "bacterial SSU rRNA". It matches the Rfam family "Bacterial small subunit ribosomal RNA", at positions 29 to 506 of the family's 1533-position model. The record is from RNAcentral.
ACGAACGUUGGCGGCGUGCUUAAUACAUGCAAGUCGAGCGAGAAACACCCUUCGGGGUGGAGUAAAGCGGCGCACGGGUGAGUAAUACCUGAACAAUCUGCCUUCGAGACUGGGAUAACCCAGGGAAACUUGGACUAAUACCGGAUGGCAUCCUGGAGGCGCAUGUCUCUUGGAUUAAAGCGUGUCGAGAGAUACGUGCUCGAUGAAGGGUUCAGGGCCUAUCAGCUAGUUGGCGGGGUAACGGCCCACCAAGGCGAUGACGGGUAGCCGGACUGAGAGGUUGAUCGGCCACAUGGGAACUGAGACACGGUCCCAACACCUGCGGGUGGCAGCAGUAGGGAAUAUUGCGCAAUGGGCGAAAGCCUGACGCAGCGACGCCGCGUGGAGGACGAAGGCCCUUGGGUUGUAAACUCCUUUUCUGUGGGAAGAACGCUGACGGUACCACAGGAAUAAGCACCGGCUAACUUCGU